AGCUCAGCUGGCUAGAGCGCCUGCUUUGCACGCAGGAGGUCAGGGGUUCGACUCCCCUAGAAUCCA
This 66-nucleotide transfer RNA is filed under the name candidate division SR1 bacterium. RNAcentral describes it as "tRNA-Ala". It matches the Rfam family "tRNA", at positions 9 to 71 of the family's 71-position model. From Rfam's summary of the family: Transfer RNA (tRNA) molecules are approximately 80 nucleotides in length. Their secondary structure includes four short double-helical elements and three loops (D, anti-codon, and T loops). Further hydrogen bonds mediate the characteristic L-shaped molecular structure. tRNAs have two regions of fundamental functional importance: the anti-codon, which is responsible for specific mRNA codon recognition, and the 3' end, to which the tRNAs corresponding amino acid is attached (by aminoacyl-tRNA synthetases). tRNAs cope with the degeneracy of the genetic code in two manners: having more than one tRNA (with a specific anti-codon) for a particular amino acid; and 'wobble' base-pairing, i.e. permitting non-standard base-pairing at the 3rd anti-codon position. The record is from RNAcentral. Lineage: Bacteria; Candidatus Absconditibacteriota.